Molecule: ribosomal RNA, 775 nt
Filed under: uncultured organism
Description: SSU rRNA
Rfam family: Bacterial small subunit ribosomal RNA
Source: RNAcentral
GACGAACGCUGGCGGCGUGCUUAACACAUGCAAGUCGAACGAAGAGCGAUGGAAGCUUGCUUCUAUCAAUCUUAGUGGCGAACGGGUGAGUAACGCGUAAUCAACCUGCCCUUCAGAGGGGGACAACAGUUGGAAACGACUGCUAAUACCGCAUACGAUCUAACCUCGGCAUCGAGGAUAGAUGAAAGGUGGCCUCUAUUUAUAAGCUAUCACUGAAGGAGGGGAUUGCGUCUGGUUAGCUAGUUGGAGGGGUAACGGCCCACCAAGGCGAUGAUCAGUAGCCGGUCUGAGAGGAUGAACGGCCACAUUUGGACUGAGACACGGCCCAGACUCCUACGGGAGGCAGCAGUGGGGAAUCUUCCGCAAUGGACGAAAGUCUGACGGAGCAACGCCGCGUGAGUGAUGACGGCCUUCGGGUUGUAAAGCUCUGUUAAUCGGGACGAAAGGCCUUCUUGCGAAUAGUUAGAAGGAUUGACGGUACCGGAAUAGAAAGCCACGGCUAACUACGUGCCAGCAGCCGCGGUAAUACGUAGGUGGCAAGCGUUGUCCGGAAUUAUUGGGCGUAAAGCGCGCGCAGGCGGAUUGGUCAGUCUGUCUUAAAAGUUCGGGGCUUAACCCCGUGAUGGGAUGGAAACUGCCAAUCUAGAGUAUCGGAGAGGAAAGUGGAAUUCCUAGUGUAGCGGUGAAAUGCGUAGAUAUUAGGAAGAACACCAGUGGCGAAGGCGACUUUCUGGACGAAAACUGACGCUGAGGCGCGAAAGCCAGGGGAGCGAAA